CCCUUAGAUGUUCUGGGCUGCACACGUGCUACACUGGCAGGUUCAGCGAGCUUCAUGCCCUGAUCUGAAAGGAAUGGGAACUCUUUUCAAAACCUGCCGUGCUUGGGAUAGAUGUUUGCAAUUAUUCGUCUUCAACGAGGAUUGCCUUGUAAGCGCACGUCAUCAGCGUGCAUUGAAUACGACCCUGUAUUCUGUACACACCGCCCGUCGCUCCUACCGAUUGAAGUUUUCGGUGAGUUGACAGGAGGAUUUUUUUGAAACUGGUUCGCCAGUGGAUUUUAGAUCCAAAUGCCAACGAAUCGAUGGCUUUAGAGGAAGGAGAAGUCGUAACA
Molecule: ribosomal RNA, 332 nt
Filed under: uncultured eukaryote
Lineage: Eukaryota
Description: partial 18S ribosomal RNA
Rfam family: Eukaryotic small subunit ribosomal RNA
Source: RNAcentral